RNAcentral lists this ribosomal RNA (380 nucleotides) under uncultured eukaryote. Its description in RNAcentral is "partial 18S ribosomal RNA". It matches the Rfam family "Eukaryotic small subunit ribosomal RNA", at positions 592 to 976 of the family's 1831-position model. The record is from RNAcentral.
CAAUAGCGUAUAUUAAAUUUGCUGCAGUUAAAAAGCUCGUAGUUUGGUAUUUGUUGUACGCACCCUCUCAGUUUCUUCGUAAACCUGAAUGUGUUUGUGCUGCAAUAUGCUGUGUGUUUUUUGAUUUUCGCUCAAUUGCGUUUUCGAUGAAUACACGUUUUACUGUGAGAAAAUUAGAGUGUUCAAAGCAAGUGUUUUGUUUGAAUACAAUAGCAUGGAAUAAUACAAUAAAACUUUUAUUUAUUUUGUUGGUUUUAAAAAUAUAGUUACGAUUAAUAGGAACAGUUGGGGGCAUUCGUAUUCAACAGUCAGAGGUGAAAUUCUUAGAUUUGUUAAAGACGAACCGCUGCGAAAGCUUUUGUCAAGGAUGUUUUCAUUAA